RNAcentral lists this long non-coding RNA (211 nucleotides) under Elaeis guineensis (African oil palm). Its description in RNAcentral is "long non-coding RNA (EGUI_LNC071942)". The record is from RNAcentral. Lineage: Eukaryota; Viridiplantae; Streptophyta; Magnoliopsida; Arecales; Arecaceae.
CCCUCCCAUAUUUUUUUAUAGUAAAUCAAUUCUCUAACUGAUCUUUCACAAAAUAUUUCCUCAAAAUAUCACACAUAUAAAGAGAAAAAAAUUUAUUGGCAUGAAGAGGUUGAUUUGGAUGAGAACAGAUUCUCCUGAUAAAGAAUAUUUUGAAAUUAAAUUUUAGAACCAUUCUUUUAUUAAAACCAAAUCAGAUUUGGAUGUGAGAUAG